AUCAUGGCUCAGAUUGAACGCUGGCGGCAUGCUUUACACAUGCAAGUCGAACGGUAACAGGUCUUCGGAUGCUGACGAGUGGCGAACGGGUGAGUAAUGUAUCGGAACGUGCCCAGUAGUGGGGGAUAACUACUCGAAAGAGUGGCUAAUACCGCAUGAGAACUGAGGUUGAAAGCGGGGGACCUUCGGGCCUCGCGCUACUGGAGCGGCCGAUAUCAGAUUAGGUAGUUGGUGGGGUAAAGGCCUACCAAGCCGACGAUCUGUAGCUGGUCUGAGAGAACGACCAGCCACACUGGGACUGAGACACGGCCCAGACUCCUACGGGAGGCAGCAGUGGGGAAUUUUGGACAAUGGACGCAAGUCUGAUCCAGCAAUGCCGCGUGCAGGACGAAGGCCUUCGGGUUGUAAACUGCUUUUGUACAGAACGAAAAGGCUCUGGUUAAUACCUGGGGCUCAUGACGGUACUGUAAGAAUAAGCACCGGCUAACUACGUG
RNAcentral lists this ribosomal RNA (494 nucleotides) under uncultured bacterium. Its description in RNAcentral is "bacterial SSU rRNA". It matches the Rfam family "Bacterial small subunit ribosomal RNA", at positions 16 to 507 of the family's 1533-position model. The record is from RNAcentral.